This is a long non-coding RNA of Gadus morhua (Atlantic cod), 1291 nucleotides long. RefSeq lists it as uncharacterized. The record is from RefSeq and is a predicted model, not a curated record. NCBI's taxonomy places the organism in Eukaryota, Metazoa, Chordata, Actinopteri, Gadiformes, Gadidae. The transcript has 2 exons.
CCAGAGGAUGCUGCAUCAUCCACGAGUGUGGCCUGACAUUACUCUGUUCGAGAUUAAGAGAGCUGACUGCUUCUACAAUCAGUGAGGGUCAACUGCAGCACCGAUGCCCACCCACCGUGGGUGGGACACUGCCAUGGUGACAGACAGCUACCUGCCUCCCAGCACCACCCCUCUCUCUCCCCCAGCAGCAGCCAUCACCAGGAGCAGCUAUCAGCAGCGAUAGCAUUCAUCAGCAGCUAUAGCGGGCCAGGGCCUACCGCACUUCAGCUGUCAGCCAGCACUGCAGCCUAAGGCCCCAUGCUCCAGGAGAGAGACAGGAAGAACCUCAUCGGAAAGAGAGCUCCCACAUGCCAGCCUUGACAACUCGACAGCUUGUUAUUAACGUAUUACAGCUAGACGUAAUCAUGGCAUUUCAUAAUGCUGCUCUACCUUAUUAAAUAGAGGAUUUGAUUGGUUUUGACUGAUGGUAUACUCUAUAACCCGAUGCCCCUCUUCAUUUAAAUGUGAUAAAACCAUUAAAACACAUACUUUGUAAAUAGCUGUAUACAUUGCUAUGUUACUUUAUUUGUAUACUUUCGUUGUUCGCUUUGUACUUUUGCAUCUACUCUAACAAGUGUAAGUGUAGUCUGAUUCUGAAGACAAAGGGUCUUGACACACGGAAAUCCAUGGUUGAUCAAUAAAUAGUGGUUUAUUUGAACAACAUAUGGCUUAUUUACAAGUGCAUUAUUGAUGUUAAAACAAAUAAAACAUUCAAAUUAAAUAAAUCAGAAAGUGUAUUGGUACAAUCCAUGUAUUUUUUUAGUUUUUUCUACAUUCAUUAUAAUCUCCAUACAAUAGAGAUUUUGAGCCAGAAGCAAGAUCUUAGAAGCAAAAAUAAUGUCUUCAUCGGGGAUUUAUGCAGUUGAGAUUCUUGCUUUCCAGGUUGAAGACAUUUACGAUCAAUCUUUUCUUGUUAACAGUCAAAAAAGGUAAUUUGUACUUAAACAUACAGUAGAGUGACACGUCGUUUAGUGGGUUUAGCAACGUUUCCAUCGUUUUUUCUUACGUUCUUGUUGGGUACUAAAAUAAGUACACACAUUGGCAACCCUAAUCCAUCAGUGGAUUAUCAGGUUUCAAUGAUUGGAUUAUUGGCUGGGCUUCUGCAUUGCAAAGAUGACUUCCAAAACGUGCCUUUUGUUCCUUCAGUGGUUUAUUUUUCAUUAUGGCUGUGAAAAAAAACUAUAUUCUAAUUAAAAAGGAAAUCCAGUGCUAAGGUUUCAAUGGACGUAAAGAAAAAUAUCUACGCAGAAUG